CACGUUAUGGUGGGCACGUCUAAGGAGAACUGCCGGUGACAAACCGGAGGAAGUGGGGAUGACGUCAAGUCAUCAUGGCCCUUACGGCCUGGGCUACACACGUGCUACAAUGGUCGGUACAAAGGGUUGCCAAGCCGCGAGGUGGAGCUAAUCCCAUAAACCGAUCGUAGUCCGGAUCGCAGUCUGCAACUCGACUGCGUGAAGUCGGAAUCGCUAGUAAUCGUGAAUCAGAAUGUCACGGUGAAUACGUUCCCGGGCCUU
This 261-nucleotide ribosomal RNA is filed under the name uncultured Pseudomonas sp. RNAcentral describes it as "partial 16S ribosomal RNA". It matches the Rfam family "Bacterial small subunit ribosomal RNA", at positions 1122 to 1382 of the family's 1533-position model. The record is from RNAcentral. Lineage: Bacteria; Pseudomonadati; Pseudomonadota; Gammaproteobacteria; Pseudomonadales; Pseudomonadaceae.